CCCUUAGAUGUUCUGGGCCGCACGCGUGCUACACUGAACGGUUCAAUGGGUAAGGUAGUGCGAAAGCAUGACCUAAUCUCGAAAUCCGUUCGUGCUGGGGAUAGAAGCUUGCAAUUAUCCUUCUUGAACGAGGUAUACCUUGUAAGCGUGAGUCAUCAUCUCACGCUGAAUACGUCCCUGCCCUUUGUACACACCGCCCGUCGCUCCUACCGAUUGAGUGUUCCGGUGAGGCUUUGGGAGAAUGGCCUCAACAUGAGUUUAUCGUGUUUUGCCGUUUGAACUUAGUCAAACCUUAUCACUUAGAGGAAGGAGAAGUCGUAACA
Molecule: ribosomal RNA, 323 nt
Filed under: uncultured eukaryote
Lineage: Eukaryota
Description: partial 18S ribosomal RNA
Rfam family: Eukaryotic small subunit ribosomal RNA
Source: RNAcentral